AUUGAACGCUGGCGGCAUGCUUUACACAUGCAAGUCGAACGGUAACGCGGACUUCGGUCUGGCGACGAGUGGCGAACGGGUGAGUAAUGCAUCGGAACGUAUCCAUUUGUGGGGGAUAGCCCGGCGAAAGCCGGAUUAAUACCGCAUAAUCUCUGAGGAGGAAAGUGGGGGACCUUCGGGCCUUACGCUGAUGGAGCGGCUGAUGUCGGAUUAGCUUGUUGGUAGGGUAAAGGCCUACCAAGGCGACGAUCCGUAGCUGGUCUGAGAGGACGACCAGCCACACUGGAACUGAGACACGGUCCAGACUCCUACGGGAGGCAGCAGUGGGGAAUUUUGGACAAUGGGGGCAACCCUGAUCCAGCCAUGCCGCGUGCGGGAAGAAGGCCUUCGGGUUGUAAACCGCUUUCAGACGGAAAGAAACAGUGCAAGCUAAUACCUUGUACGAAUGACGGUACCGUCAGAAGAAGCACCGGCUAACUACGUG
RNAcentral lists this ribosomal RNA (484 nucleotides) under uncultured bacterium. Its description in RNAcentral is "bacterial SSU rRNA". It matches the Rfam family "Bacterial small subunit ribosomal RNA", at positions 30 to 507 of the family's 1533-position model. The record is from RNAcentral.